GUUUUUUUGUAAAUAAUUUAAAGUCGAAUUUGCCCACUGAUUUAAUUAAAGGGCUGCAGUAAAUUGACUGUACAAAGGUAGCAUAAUCAUUAGUCUUUUAAUUGAAGACUUGUAUGAAAGAUUUGAUGAGAUAUAUACUGUCUCUUUUUUAUAUUUAGAAUUUAAUUUUUUAGUAAAAAAGCUAAAAUUUUUUUAAAAGACGAGAAGACCCUAUAGAGUUUUAUUAUUAUUAUAAUUUUAAUUUUUUAUUAAUGUUUAAUAGAAAUUAUAUUAAUAAUUUUAUUGGGGUGAUAAAGAAAUUAAAUAAACUUUUUUUUUAAUUAAACAUUAAUUUAUGAAAAAAUGAUCCAUAAUUUAUGAUUAUAAGAAAAAAUUACCUUAGGGAUAACAGCGUAAUUUUUUUUUUUAGUUCUUAUAAAAAAAAAAGUUUGCGACCUCGAUGUUGGAUUAAAAUAAAAUUUAAAUGUAAAAGUUUAAAAUUUUGAUCUGUUCGAUCAUUAAAAUCUUACA
This 510-nucleotide ribosomal RNA is filed under the name Ampittia subvittatus. Its description in RNAcentral is "partial 16S ribosomal RNA". The stretch from base 384 to 510 matches the Rfam family "Bacterial large subunit ribosomal RNA", at positions 2473 to 2600 of the family's 2925-position model. The record is from RNAcentral. Lineage: Eukaryota; Metazoa; Arthropoda; Insecta; Lepidoptera; Hesperiidae.